GAGUAACAUCAACUGGAGGACCGAACCCACUGUCGUUGAAAAGCCAGGGGAUGACCUGUGGAUAGGAGUGAAAGGCUAAUCAAACUCGGAGAUAGCUGGUUCUUCGCGAAAGCUAUUGAGGUAGCGCCUCGUAAUAGACUUCUGGGGGUAGAGCACUGUUUCGGCUAGGGGCCCAUCCCGGGUUACCAACCCGAUGCAAACUCCGAAUACCAGAAAGUUGUUUUACGGGAGACACACGGCGGGUGAUAAGGUCCGUCGUGGAGAGGGAAACAGCCCAGACCGCCAGUUAAGGUCCCUAAAUAUUACUAAGUGGUAAACGAUGUGGGAAGGCUUAGACAGCUAGGAGGUUGGCUUAGAAGCAGCCAUCCUUUAAAGAAAGCGUAAUAGCUCACUAGUCGAGUCGGCCUGCGCGGAAGAUUUAACGGGGCUAAGUAAUAUACCGAAACUGCGGGUUCAUAAUUUAUUAUGAGCGGUAGCGAAGCGUUCUGUAGGCCGGUGAAGGUGACCUGAGAGGGUUGCUGGAGGUAUCAGAAGUGAGAAUGCUGACAUGAGUAACGACAAAGGGGGUGAGAAUCCCCCUCGCCGGAAGUCCAAGGUUUUCUACGCAACGUUCGUCGACGUAGAGUGAGUCGGCCCCUAAGGCGAGGCAGAAAUGCGUAGUCGAUGGGAAUCAGGUUAAUAUUCCUGAAC
Molecule: ribosomal RNA, 690 nt
Filed under: Bacillus halotolerans
Lineage: Bacteria; Bacillati; Bacillota; Bacilli; Caryophanales; Bacillaceae
Description: bacterial LSU rRNA
Rfam family: Bacterial large subunit ribosomal RNA
Source: RNAcentral